RNAcentral lists this ribosomal RNA (253 nucleotides) under uncultured bacterium. RNAcentral describes it as "partial 16S ribosomal RNA". It matches the Rfam family "Bacterial small subunit ribosomal RNA", at positions 524 to 776 of the family's 1533-position model. The record is from RNAcentral.
UACGUAGGGCGCAAGCGUUGUCCGGAAUUAUUGGGCGUAAAGAGCUCGUAGGCGGCUUGUCACGUCGGGUGUGAAAGCCCGGGGCUUAACCCCGGGUCUGCAUUCGAUACGGGCAGGCUAGAGUGUGGUAGGGGAGAUCGGAAUUCCUGGUGUAGCGGUGAAAUGCGCAGAUAUCAGGAGGAACACCAGUGGCGAAGGCGGCACUCUGGGCCGGUACUGACGCUGAGGAGCGAAAGCGUGGGGAGCGAACAGG